This 500-nucleotide ribosomal RNA is filed under the name uncultured bacterium. RNAcentral describes it as "partial 16S ribosomal RNA". It matches the Rfam family "Bacterial small subunit ribosomal RNA", at positions 29 to 523 of the family's 1533-position model. The record is from RNAcentral.
AUUGAACGCUGGCGGCAUGCCUUACACAUGCAAGUCGAACGGCAGCGCGGGAGCAAUCCCGGCGGCGAGUGGCGAACGGGUGAGUAAUAUAUCGGAACGUGCCCAGUAGUGGGGGAUAGCCCGGCGAAAGCCGGAUUAAUACCGCAUACGACCUACGGGUGAAAGGGGGGGAUCGCAAGACCUCUCGCUAUUGGAGCGGCCGAUAUCAGAUUAGGUAGUUGGUGGGGUAAAGGCCCACCAAGCCUACGAUCUGUAGUUGGUCUGAGAGGACGACCAGCCACACUGGGACUGAGACACGGCCCAGACUCCUACGGGAGGCAGCAGUGGGGAAUUUUGGACAAUGGGGGCAACCCUGAUCCAGCAAUGCCGCGUGCAGGAAGAAGGCCUUCGGGUUGUAAACUGCUUUUGUCAGGGAAGAAAUCCCUUGGGUUAAUACCUCGGGGGGAUGACGGUACCUGAAGAAUAAGCACCGGCUAACUACGUGCCAGCCGCCGCAGUAA